This 404-nucleotide ribosomal RNA is filed under the name uncultured prokaryote. RNAcentral's name for it is "bacterial SSU rRNA". It matches the Rfam family "Bacterial small subunit ribosomal RNA", at positions 355 to 776 of the family's 1533-position model. RNAcentral also lists the same sequence under 1 other name. The record is from RNAcentral.
UGGGGGAUAUUGCGCAAUGGGGGAAACCCUGACGCAGCAAUGCCGCGUGAAGGAAGAAGGUCUUCGGAUCGUAAACUUUUGUCUUCAGGGACGAUAAUGACGGUACCUGAGGAGGAAGCCACGGCUAACUACGUGCCAGCAGCCGCGGUAAUACGUAGGUGGCAAGCGUUGUCCGGAUUUACUGGGUGUAAAGGGCGUGUAGGCGGGAUGGUAGGUCAGAUGUGAAAUACCCGGGCUUAACCCGGGGGCUGCAUUUGAAACCACCGUUCUUGAGUGAUGGAGAGGUAAGUGGAAUUCCUAGUGUAGCGGUGAAAUGCGUAGAUAUUAGGAGGAACACCAGUGGCGAAGGCGACUUACUGGACAUUAACUGACGCUGAGGCGCGAAAGCGUGGGGAGCAAACAGG